UCCGGUUUGGCACCGGCAGUCUCUCUAGAGUUGUCAGAGGAUGUCAAGACCUGGUAAGGUUCUUCGCGUUGCUUCGAAUUAAACCACAUGCUCCACCGCUUGUGCGGGCCCCCGUCAAUUCCUUUGAGUUUCAACCUUGCGGUCGUACUCCCCAGGCGGGGUACUUCCUGCGUUAGCGCCGGCACCCAGAGGGUCGCUCCCCCAGGCACCUAGUACCCAUCGUUUACGGCGUGGACUAC
This 239-nucleotide unclassified non-coding RNA is filed under the name uncultured bacterium. RNAcentral describes it as "contains 16S-23S intergenic spacer region". The record is from RNAcentral.